UACGAAGGGGCUAGCGUUGUUCGGAAUUAUUGGGCGUAAAGGGCGCGUAGGCGGUGCGGUAAGUCUUUUGUGAAAUCUCCGGGCUCAACUCGGAGUCUGCAGGAGAAACUGCCGUGCUUGAGUAUGGGAGAGGUGAGUGGAAUUCCUGGUGUAGCGGUGAAAUGCGUAGAUAUCAGGAGGAACACCUGUGGCGAAAGCGGCUCACUGGACCAUUACUGACGCUGAUGCGCGAAAGCUAGGGGAGCAAACAGG
Molecule: ribosomal RNA, 252 nt
Filed under: uncultured bacterium
Lineage: Bacteria
Description: partial 16S ribosomal RNA
Rfam family: Bacterial small subunit ribosomal RNA
Source: RNAcentral